This 1173-nucleotide long non-coding RNA is filed under the name Salmo salar (Atlantic salmon). Its description in RNAcentral is "lncRNA (ENSSSAG00000081921.1)". Lineage: Eukaryota; Metazoa; Chordata; Actinopteri; Salmoniformes; Salmonidae. The record is from RNAcentral.
GUUCCAAUGGCCAGUAUCUACAGAAUCUCUCUCCACAGCGUUCCAAUGGCCAGAGUCUACAGAAUCUCUCUCCACAGCGUUCCAAUGGCCAGUAUCUACAGAAUCUCUCUCCACAGCAGGUUCCAAUGGCCAGUAUCUACAGAAUCUCUCUCCACAGCGUUCCAAUGGCCAGAGUCUACAGAAUCUCUCUCCACAGCGUUCCAAUGGCCAGUAUCUACAGAAUCUCUCUCCACAGCAGGUUCCAAUGGCCAGAGUCUACAGAAUCUCUCUCCACAGCAGGUUCCAAUGGCCAGAGUCUACAGAAUCUCUCUCCACAGCGUUCCAAUGGCCAGAGUCUACAGAAUCUCUCUCCACAGCAGGUUCCAAUGGCCAGAGUCUACAGAAUCUCUCUCCACAGCGUUCCAAUGGCCAGAGUCUACAGAAUCUCUCUCCACAGCAGGUUCCAAUGGCCAGAGUCUACAGAAUCUCUCUCCACAGCAGGUUCCAAUGGCCAGUAUCUACAGAAUCUCUCUCCACAGCGUUCCAAUGGCCAGAGUCUACAGAAUCUCUCUCCACAGCAGGUUCCAAUGGCCAGAGUCUACAGAAUCUCUCUCCACAGCGUUCCAAUGGCCAGAGUCUACAGAAUCUCUCUCCACAGCGUUCCAAUGGCCAGUAUCUACAGAACCACUAAAGAUUGUUUACGAUACGCCAGCCUUCAUCUUAAAUGGACAUGUUUGGUCUCAGUGAUAUUCCUCGUGGUCACAACAUAAAAGCUACUGCUUAAAGAAAUCCUUCAUGUCAUUAUUUGUUGCGUGUACAAUGGCGCCAUGAAAGCAUGUGAUAAAUUUGACUCUGAACUGAAAUUCAGUCAAUCAACAGUGUUAACAAAAUUUGUUGAAAUAUUUUUCAUUAUGGAAGUUUGGUCAUUGCAGCCAACUAGCAUAGAACAUUAGAAACAUUGAGUACGUUUACAUGCACACAAAUAAUGUGAUAUUUAAUUUUUUAUUUUAUUUAACUAGGCAAGUCAGUUAAGAACAAAUUCUUAUUUACAAUGACGACCUACUGGGGAACAGUGGGUUAACUGCCUUGUUCAGGGGGCAGAACGACAGAUUUUUACCUUGUCAGCUCAGGGAUUCAAUCCAGCAACCUUUCAGUUACUGGCAACAACGGUCUAACCACUAGGCUACCUACCGC